GCGAACGGGUGAGUAACACGUGGGCAAUCUGCCCUGCACUCUGGGACAAGCCCUGGAAACGGGGUCUAAUACCGGAUACUGACCCGCUUGGGCAUCCAAGCGGUUCGAAAGCUCCGGCGGUGCAGGAUGAGCCCGCGGCCUAUCAGCUUGUUGGUGAGGUAAUGGCUCACCAAGGCGACGACGGGUAGCCGGCCUGAGAGGGCGACCGGCCACACUGGGACUGAGACACGGCCCAGACUCCUACGGGAGGCAGCAGUGGGGAAUAUUGCACAAUGGGCGAAAGCCUGAUGCAGCGACGCCGCGUGAGGGAUGACGGCCUUCGGGUUGUAAACCUCUUUCAGCAGGGAAGAAGCGAAAGUGACGGUACCUGCAGAAGAAGCGCCGGCUAACUACGUGCCAGCAGCCGCGGUAAUACGUAGGGCGCGAGCGUUGUCCGGAAUUAUUGGGCGUAAAGAGCUCGUAGGCGGCUUGUCACGUCGGUUGUGAAAGCCCGGGGCUUAACCCCGGGUCUGCAGUCGAUACGGGCAGGCUAGAGUUCGGUAGGGGAGAUCGGAAUUCCUGGUGUAGCGGUGAAAUGCGCAGAUAUCAGGAGGAACACCG
This is a ribosomal RNA of 600 nucleotides. It matches the Rfam family "Bacterial small subunit ribosomal RNA", at positions 98 to 711 of the family's 1533-position model.